Molecule: non-coding RNA, 29 nt
Filed under: Mus musculus (house mouse)
Lineage: Eukaryota; Metazoa; Chordata; Mammalia; Rodentia; Muridae
Source: RNAcentral
UCCUAUAUAUGUGAUAUGGUGAAGGUGGU